This 22-nucleotide microRNA is filed under the name Bos taurus (domestic cattle). RNAcentral's name for it is "bta-miR-2285e". Lineage: Eukaryota; Metazoa; Chordata; Mammalia; Artiodactyla; Bovidae. The record is from miRBase by way of RNAcentral.
AAACCUGAACGAACUUUUUGGC